GAUGAACGCUGGCGGCGUGCCUAAUACAUGCAAGUCGAGCGAACAGACGAGGAGCUUGCUCCUCUGACGUUAGCGGCGGACGGGUGAGUAACACGUGGAUAACCUACCUAUAAGACUGGGAUAACUUCGGGAAACCGGAGCUAAUACCGGAUAAUAUAUUGAACCGCAUGGUUCAAUAGUGAAAGACGGUUUUGCUGUCACUUAUAGAUGGAUCCGCGCCGCAUUAGCUAGUUGGUAAGGUAACGGCUUACCAAGGCAACGAUGCGUAGCCGACCUGAGAGGGUGAUCGGCCACACUGGAACUGAGACACGGUCCAGACUCCUACGGGAGGCAGCAGUAGGGAAUCUUCCGCAAUGGGCGAAAGCCUGACGGAGCAACGCCGCGUGAGUGAUGAAGGUCUUUGGAUCGUAAAACUCUGUUAUUAGGGAAGAACAAAUGUGUAAGUAACUAUGCACGUCUUGACGGUACCUAAUCAGGAAGCCACGGCUAACUACGUG
RNAcentral lists this ribosomal RNA (497 nucleotides) under uncultured bacterium. Its description in RNAcentral is "partial 16S ribosomal RNA". It matches the Rfam family "Bacterial small subunit ribosomal RNA", at positions 28 to 507 of the family's 1533-position model. The record is from RNAcentral.